UUCCAUGGUCAUACCACCCUGAAUGCUGUAUCCAACCUAAGCAGGGCUGGGCCUGGUUAGUGCCUGGAUGGGAGAACUACAAAGAACUCUGGAGAAGGUCUAAA
Ribosomal RNA from Cricetulus griseus (Chinese hamster), 104 nucleotides. NCBI's taxonomy places the organism in Eukaryota, Metazoa, Chordata, Mammalia, Rodentia, Cricetidae. The record is from Ensembl.